RNAcentral lists this ribosomal RNA (537 nucleotides) under uncultured bacterium. RNAcentral's name for it is "bacterial SSU rRNA". It matches the Rfam family "Archaeal small subunit ribosomal RNA", at positions 577 to 1115 of the family's 1478-position model. The record is from RNAcentral.
GAAGAGACUGCAAGACUUGAGAUCGGGUGAGGUUAAACGUACUUUCAGGGUAGGGGUAAAAUCCUGUAAUCCCGGAAGGACGACCAGUGGCGACAGCGUUUAACUAGAACGAAUCUGACGGUAAGGAACGAAGGCUAGGGUAGCAAACCGGAUUAGAUACCCGGGUAGUCCUAGCUGUAAACAUUGCCCAUUUGAUGUUGCUUUCCCGUUGAGGGAAGGCAGUGUCGGAGCGAAGGUGUUAAAUGGGCCGCUUGGGAAGUAUGGUCGCAAGACUGAAACUUAAAGGAAUUGGCGGGGGAGCACCGCAACGGGAGGAAUGUGCGGUUUAAUUGGAUUCAACGCCGGAAAACUCACCGGGAACGACCUGUGCAUGAGAGUCAACUUGACGAGCUUACUCGAUAGCAGGAGAGGUGGUGCAUGGCCGUCGUCAGCUCGUACCGUAGGGCGUUCACUUAAGUGUGAUAACGAGCGAGACCCACAUCUUUAAUUGCAAAUGUAUAUGGGAAUAUGCAUGCACUUUAGAGAACCGCCAGCGCU